GCAGCAGUAGCUUAGUUGGUCAAAGCCCCGAACUCAUAAUUCGGUCAUCGUAGGUUCAAGUCCUACCUGCUGUA
This 74-nucleotide transfer RNA is filed under the name bacterium. RNAcentral's name for it is "tRNA-Met". It matches the Rfam family "tRNA". Rfam says of the family: Transfer RNA (tRNA) molecules are approximately 80 nucleotides in length. Their secondary structure includes four short double-helical elements and three loops (D, anti-codon, and T loops). The record is from RNAcentral.